GGCAGUGGUGGCUCAGUGGUUCAGGCUCUGGGUUACUGAUUAGAAGGUUGGGGGUUCAAGCCCCAGCACUGCCA
This is a non-coding RNA of Pangasius djambal, 74 nucleotides long. NCBI's taxonomy places the organism in Eukaryota, Metazoa, Chordata, Actinopteri, Siluriformes, Pangasiidae. The record is from the annotation of a GenBank genome assembly.